RNAcentral lists this ribosomal RNA (119 nucleotides) under Pteropus alecto (black flying fox). The record is from RNAcentral. Lineage: Eukaryota; Metazoa; Chordata; Mammalia; Chiroptera; Pteropodidae.
GUCCACGGUCAUGCCGCUCUGAACAAGCCGCAUCUUGUCUGAUCUCGGAAGCUAAGCAGGGUUGGGCCUGGUUAGUACUUAGAUGGGAGACCACCUAGGAAGAUCAGGUGCUGUAGGUG